UGGGGAAUCUUGCACAAUGGGCGCAAGCCUGAUCCAGCCAUGCCGCGUGAGUGAAGAAGGCCUUCGGGUUGUAAAGCUCUUUUUACCAGGGACGAUAAUGACGGUACCUGGAGAAUAAGCCCCGGCAAACUUCGUGCCAGCAGCCGCGGUAAUACGAAGGGGGCUAGCGUUGUUCGGAAUUACUGGGCGUAAAGCGCACGUAGGCGGAUUGUUAAGUCAGAGGUGAAAUCCCGGAGCUCAACUUCGGAACUGCCUUUGAUACUGGCAAUCUCGAGUCCGGAAGAGGUUAGUGGAAUUCCCAGUGUAGAGGUGAAAUUCGUAGAUAUCGGGAGGAACACCUGUGGCGAAGGCGGCCACCUGGUUAGAUACUGACGCUGAGACGCGAAAGCGUGGGGAGCAAACAGGAUUAGAUACCCCAGUAGUCCCUGAGCGGGCUGGCAAGGCGCAU
This 448-nucleotide ribosomal RNA is filed under the name uncultured bacterium. Its description in RNAcentral is "bacterial SSU rRNA". It matches the Rfam family "Bacterial small subunit ribosomal RNA", at positions 355 to 825 of the family's 1533-position model. The record is from RNAcentral.